This 67-nucleotide transfer RNA is filed under the name Margaritifera falcata (western pearlshell). RNAcentral describes it as "tRNA-Ala". The record is from RNAcentral. Lineage: Eukaryota; Metazoa; Mollusca; Bivalvia; Unionida; Margaritiferidae.
AGUUCUGUACUUUAACAAAAAGAUUUGAUUUGCAAUUAAAAAUUGAGUAGACUACACUCCAGAACUA